RNAcentral lists this ribosomal RNA (254 nucleotides) under uncultured bacterium. RNAcentral describes it as "partial 16S ribosomal RNA". It matches the Rfam family "Bacterial small subunit ribosomal RNA", at positions 524 to 777 of the family's 1533-position model. The record is from RNAcentral.
UACGGAAGGGGCUAGCGUUGUUCGGAUUACUGGGCGUAAAGGCGCACGUGAGCGGAUCGUUAAGUCGGGGGUGAAAUCCUGGAGCUCAACUCCAGAACUGCCUUCGAUACUGGCGAUCUUGAGUCCGGAAGAGGUGAGUGGAACUCCUAGUGUAGAGGUGGAAUUCGUAGAUAUUAGGAAGAACACCAGUGGCGAAGGCGGCUCACUGGUCCGGUACUGACGCUGAGGUGCGAAAGCGUGGGGAGCAAACAGGG